UUCGCCGCCCAGGACUCUCGUCUUCUUGCGCAGCCUCGUUUAGGCCCGUGAGCCACUGCGUUAUCUUGGACUUGGUUAUUUAUUUGCGGGAAUAGUAAGGGCUGGGAGUGCAUCUGACUUCUAGUGACUCCCCACAUGGUCUGAGAGGGCCCUGGGGGAAAUGGUGCUAUGUGACCGAGCUACUGGUGGAAGGUGGGAGGAGAGAGUGAAAGUAAGAAGACUAACAGGCUGGUGCGGUGCUUAAAUACAAGGCCCUUCUCUUUUGCUUGGAAUACUGCAUGGAUCGUUUCUCCCAGAGAAGAUGACUCCCUGAAGCGAUUUUCAGCUACAUUAAGGCCCUGUUUUAUUCAUUAUGUAAUUCCAGGGUCUUCUAUAGUCUUGUAAUAAUAGAAAUCUAAUAAACGUUGAGCUGAAAAGAAA
Lutra lutra (Eurasian river otter) is the source of this 420-nucleotide long non-coding RNA. RefSeq lists it as uncharacterized. The transcript has 3 exons. The record is from RefSeq and is a predicted model, not a curated record. NCBI's taxonomy places the organism in Eukaryota, Metazoa, Chordata, Mammalia, Carnivora, Mustelidae.